This 586-nucleotide long non-coding RNA is filed under the name Pongo abelii (Sumatran orangutan). RNAcentral's name for it is "lincRNA". The record is from RNAcentral. Lineage: Eukaryota; Metazoa; Chordata; Mammalia; Primates; Hominidae.
AGCUGAGGGAGCGGAGCCGGCUGCGGCCUUGGCCAGCCCAGAAAGGGGCUCCUACAGUGCAGUGGCGGGCUGAAGGGCUCCUCAAGUGCCGCCAAAGUGGGAGCCCAGGCAGAGGAGGCGCCGAGAGCGAGCGAGGACUGUAAGGACUGCCAGCACGCUGUCACCUCUCACUAAUAUAGAUUGCCAAUCUAUUUGUUGACCAGGUUUGCUGGAGUUUGGAUUUACUACCAAGUCAUAUUUGGAGCAUGCUGGAAUCUUACAACUGAGAUUACUGAGUCAGAAACUAGUUUGACUGUUUUCGUCAGCAUGGUUGAGACAUUAUCCCUGGCAGAAGGCUGGACUGGCAUGGACAUCAUUUGAUAAGUUCGUCUCCUCUUAACAAUCAAAGCCUGUUUUCCAGUGCUAAUAAACUGUUGCCUUAUAUAUUGUUUUCCCAUUUUUAUAGUUGUUUACCGCAAAAAAGAGUCUGGUACAAGUUACUUUGCUAAAACCUUGAUAAAGUUUUAUUCUAUGAUUCUUCAAUCAAUGUUUCUGUUUUGUUUAUUCUGUUAUCUCUGUUAUGUCAUACCAUAAUUCUCUCAUUAAU